CUCACCUUCUUCUUUUGUCUUUUUAGUUGACCUGACUCUUCUAACUCAUCGCCCAUCCCUUUCUGGCUUUUUCGAAUUCUUGUCGCUAAGGAUAAUAUAUGUCGGUUUUAGUGAGGACGUACAGAAAAAUGUCAACGCCGCGUUAGAACCAAAAUCAAAGAAGGUCACUGCAGACCUGAAGCCUAGCAACUAAGUUGUGCCUAAAAGGUCUCUUCAGCCAAAACCCCGCAAGCUCAGUUUUCCAUUGAGAAGAUGCCUGGAGAUUGCAGGGUGGACAGCUGUUGAUGAGGUUCCGAGGAGGACUAUAUGGCAUACUGAAGAUCCAAUCAGUAAAGAAACAUAUAUUUUUAUCCUUC
This 356-nucleotide long non-coding RNA is filed under the name Zea mays. RNAcentral describes it as "drought responsive lncRNA". Lineage: Eukaryota; Viridiplantae; Streptophyta; Magnoliopsida; Poales; Poaceae. The record is from RNAcentral.